Molecule: ribosomal RNA, 256 nt
Filed under: uncultured bacterium
Lineage: Bacteria
Description: partial 16S ribosomal RNA
Rfam family: Bacterial small subunit ribosomal RNA
Source: RNAcentral
UACGUAGGGUGCAAGCGUUGUCCGGAAUUAUUGGGCGUAAAGAGCUUGUAGGCGGUUUGUCGCGUCUGCUGUGAAAUUUCGGGGCUCAACCCCCGAACUUGCAGUGGGGUACGGGCAGACUAGAGUGUGGUAGGGGGAGACUGGAAUUCCUGGUGUAGCGGUGAAAUGCGCAGAUAUCAGGAGGAACACCGAUGGCGAAGGCAGGUCUCUGGGCCACUACUGACGCUGAGAAGCGAAAGCAUGGGGAGCGAACAGG